Long non-coding RNA from Dermochelys coriacea (leatherback sea turtle), 736 nucleotides. RefSeq lists it as uncharacterized. Lineage: Eukaryota; Metazoa; Chordata; Testudines; Dermochelyidae. The transcript has 5 exons. The record is from RefSeq and is a predicted model, not a curated record.
CGGAGCGGUCUGGUCUUAUCUGCAGGCUGCUGCUGGAAAUCCAGCCAAGAACGUUGAAUUGGAUGGAGCCACGCUCCUGAGUUGUGAGAGCUCUUCCAUUCAGUAUUAUUAGAACCUGGUGAACUUGACUAGUAUAUGUCAGCAGAAGAAUGACUAGUAUGUGAGGAAGUAUCGGGAGGAAGAUGAAUGCAUAAUAUUGUAUGGUGAUGAACAGAGGGCUGUGUUAACAUCAUCUUAUCUCUUCUGUGGGAGAAACACUGAGGAACUCGACAAAGUGUCCCAGCUGUGGAGGAAAUCCCCAGUGUUUCCAUGGAGAACAUUAAUGACAGAAGAAAUAUCACCUUCAUUCGCUGAAAGGUUCAUAAUGAUUGGGUGACCAAGAUCAAGUACAUUCAUUCUAUAGAAUCCAUUAUAUCUAGUUCAAAUGAUGAUUAUACUGCCCUAGUGAUAGGUAAGUGAAAAUUCAUGAGCAGAGGAAACUUGACAUAAGUUGAAAUAACUUCUGUAGGAAGGAAGGCUUGCCCUUGAAUCCCAGCAGUUUUUUAAAAGGAUGACCCUGUCCUGAUCAGUUUCAUUUUCAAAUUCCAUAAGGAUGUCAAAGGUUCGCCACUGUGCAGAAUGUAAUCUUGCAACUGGCCUUCUGGCUUGUAGGGGGAAGAGUCCUAAGGCCAUUCCUAAAAGACAGAUUUCUCUGCACAGCAGUGCUGCUGUUUGGUUACCUGGCUCUAAUGGCCUA